AUUGAACGCUGGCGGCAGGCCUAACACAUGCAAGUCGAACGAGUGGCGGACGGGUGAGUAAUGUCUGGGAAACUGCCUGAUGGAGGGGGAUAACUACUGGAAACGGUAGCUAAUACCGCAUACCAUCAGAUGUGCCCAGAUUGGAUUAGCUUGUUGGUGGGGUAACGGCUAACCAAGGCGACGAUCCCUCGCUGGUCUGAGAGGAUGACCAGCGACACGGGAAUGGAGACACGGUACAAACCCCUCCGCGAGGCAGAAGGGGGGAAUAUUGCACAAUGGGCGCAAGCCUGAUGUAGCCAUGCCGCGUGUAUGAAGAAGGCCUUCGGGUUGUAAAGUACUGUCAGCGGGGAGGCGGUACCCGCAUAAGCAGCACCGGCUAACUCCGUGCCAGCAGCCGCGGUAAUUC
This 406-nucleotide ribosomal RNA is filed under the name uncultured bacterium. RNAcentral describes it as "partial 16S ribosomal RNA". It matches the Rfam family "Bacterial small subunit ribosomal RNA", at positions 30 to 526 of the family's 1533-position model. The record is from RNAcentral.